AGCGGGCCUGUCUGCGCGCAGCUGUCCACGGCCCCCGGGGAGAGCCCACCGGCACGCUCCCCUGCAGUCGGCGGGAGCCUGGGACGCCUCCCAUGGACGAGCUCCGCGGUGGUGGCCCGCCUGGCCGCAGGGAGACUGAAGACAAGUAAAAGCAAGUUGGCACAAAUACAGACCUGCGGGGCGGCAGGAAGGAGCGCGAGACCAAGAGGGCAUUCCACACGUGCCUGGCACUCUCCCAGCCCUGCCCGCGCUCAGCCCCACGCUCACGCCUCAGCCAGCGCGAGAUCACACAGAAAAGGGAAAAGAUGGAGAUGCCAAGCCCAUGCCAGGACUACGCAAGAAGUGUCGACAUCUGGGCAGUGUUCACAAACCAGGCUUGUGGGGUUGCCAUAGAGUCAACCACUGUCACUGUGGCCAGAGAAGCCCUGGAACUGGUCCCCUGCUUCAUGAGAAUGGUCAGGCCAUGUCAGACCUCCUGGUGUGCCUCAGAUGAAGGGGACCACAGCUCCGCCGGGAGAGGAACUCCGGCCAUUCUCUAGGUAACGGCAAUGGCCCACCCUCCCAAGACAUCAAGUGCUGUCUCUAAAGGAUGCAAACAACCCCCCACACAUACACCUUCUUACACCCAGAAUGAGACACCAGAGCUUUCCUGAAGUCAGUUGUAUUGUCUUCUGGGUAAAAUGCACAGAGAAGGAAACCCGUGGAUCACAGGAACACAGCUUGAAGUUUUGAGAAAUGCACAUGCCUGAGCAUCCGCCACUCUAAUCAGUCAAGGUGUAGGAUGCCGUGGGCACGCGGCCCUGCAAUGCCCUGCUAGACAGUGCCACCCAGGCGGGGGACCCACUUUUCUGACCUCUGUCAUCAUAGAUUAAAUUUGCCUAUUCAGGAACUUCAUAUAAAUGGAAUCAUAAAGUAUACAUUUUUUAGGGUCUGACUUAUCUCCCUCAGCAUGAUGUUUUUGAAAUUCAUGUAUGGUUUCAUUUGUCAAUAGUUUAUUUCUUGUUAUUUGUAACUAAUAGGCUAUU
Molecule: non-coding RNA, 1025 nt
Organism: Microcebus murinus (gray mouse lemur)
Lineage: Eukaryota; Metazoa; Chordata; Mammalia; Primates; Cheirogaleidae
Source: RefSeq, a predicted model, not a curated record